This is a small nucleolar RNA of Salvelinus fontinalis (brook trout), 163 nucleotides long. RefSeq annotates it as small nucleolar RNA SNORA81. Lineage: Eukaryota; Metazoa; Chordata; Actinopteri; Salmoniformes; Salmonidae. The transcript has a single exon. The record is from RefSeq and is a predicted model, not a curated record.
CUUUGCCUUUUAAAGUACUCUGCUAAAAUUGUGAGGGUGUAGCCUCAAGCUUGGCUGUUGCAGGCAUGCGAGCACGGGUACACCAAGGAAGGAUAGAAAAGGCAAGGACGGACUGCUUUCUUAAUGUUCUGUGUCCUUUGUCUCAAGGCGCCGUGCUACAAUA